RNAcentral lists this ribosomal RNA (223 nucleotides) under uncultured bacterium. RNAcentral describes it as "partial 16S ribosomal RNA". It matches the Rfam family "Bacterial small subunit ribosomal RNA", at positions 119 to 334 of the family's 1533-position model. The record is from RNAcentral.
AGGUAAUCUACCUUAGAGAUUGGGAUAACUCGGCGAAAGCCGGACUAAUACCGAAUAAUGCAGCGGCUCCUUCGGGAGAUGUUGUUAAAGUGGGCUUCGGCUCACACUUUAAGAUGAGCCUGCGUCCGAUUAGCUUGUUGGUGAGGUAAUGGCUUACCAAGGCGAUGAUCGGUAGCUGGUCUGAGAGGACGAUCAGCCACACUGGAAUUGAGAUACGGUCCAG